RNAcentral lists this ribosomal RNA (253 nucleotides) under uncultured bacterium. Its description in RNAcentral is "partial 16S ribosomal RNA". It matches the Rfam family "Bacterial small subunit ribosomal RNA", at positions 524 to 776 of the family's 1533-position model. The record is from RNAcentral.
UACGUAGGGUGCAAGCGUUAUCCGGAAUUAUUGGGCGUAAAGAGCUCGUAGGCGGUCUGUCGCGUCUGCUGUGAAAUCUGGGGGCUCAACCCCCAGCCUGCAGUGGGUACGGGCAGACUAGAGUGCGGUAGGGGAGAUUGGAACUCCUGGUGUAGCGGUGGAAUGCGCAGAUAUCAGGAAGAACACCGGUGGCGAAGGCGGGUCUCUGGGCCGAUACUGACGCUGAGGAGCGAAAGCGUGGGGAGCGAACAGG